RNAcentral lists this ribosomal RNA (429 nucleotides) under bacterium. Its description in RNAcentral is "partial 16S ribosomal RNA". It matches the Rfam family "Bacterial small subunit ribosomal RNA", at positions 355 to 776 of the family's 1533-position model. The record is from RNAcentral.
UAGGGAAUCUUCCACAAUGGGCGCAAGCCUGAUGGAGCAACACCGCGUGAGUGAAGAAGGGUUUCGGCUCGUAAAGCUCUGUUGUUAAAGAAGAACACGUAUGAGAGUAACUGUUCAUACGUUGACGGUAUUUAACCAGAAAGUCACGGCUAACUACGUGCCAGCAGCCGCGGUAAUACGUAGGUGGCAAGCGUUAUCCGGAUUUAUUGGGCGUAAAGAGAGUGCAGGCGGUUUUCUAAGUCUGAUGUGAAAGCCUUCGGCUUAACCGGAGAAGUGCAUCGGAAACCGGAUAACUUGAGUUCAGAAGAGGGUAGUGGAACUCCAUGUGUAGCGGUGGAAUGCGUAGAUAUAUGGAAGAACACCCGUGGCGAAGGCGGCUACCUGGUCUGCAACUGACGCUGAGACUCGAAAGCAUGGGUAGCGAACAGG